Molecule: long non-coding RNA, 1201 nt
Organism: Pseudophryne corroboree (corroboree frog)
Lineage: Eukaryota; Metazoa; Chordata; Amphibia; Anura; Myobatrachidae
Exons: 2
Source: RefSeq, a predicted model, not a curated record
UAUUGCUCCUUAGGAAGCAGAACCACUGGUCUCUACCCUAUAGGUUUAUAGGAAUUCCAUACUGAUGUAGCAACACACUAAAGGAACCAACACACCCUUUUAAGGUCGGAGACAGAGUAGUGGUGAAGAUCCUCCCCCGCAGCAAGAGCCGAGGAGACUUCACCUAUGGCCCAGAGGCGGAAGUCGUUGCUGUAACCCGAACCGCAGUCCUGACAGAAGAGAGUCCCACCUGGAUCCAUGCUUCCCGAGUAAAGAAAAUUCCUAGACCAGACCUAGAGGAGGAAACAGGUGUUUCCAGUGAGGUACGAACAGGGGCGGACAGCCCUGACCUCCCACCUAGCGAAGACAGAAGACCAGAGGAGGAUGAAGAAAAUGCCCCCUAUCUUUACCCUGGGGACUAUCUUGAUAGCCCUACUGGCCCAUUUUCCCCUCUCAAUGACUGAGGUUGAUAUAACUCAGAAUAAGGGAAACUGACACUAUGGUAUAACUCUUCCACCACAUACACUGCAACCUACAUACUAGAUUAUUUCCAAUUCCCCCAACUAGCUGUUGUCCAAAAGUCUGUUGACUACCAGAUCCGCGCUGACCCCACAGACAACCUAAGCCCCGAGGUACCUUAUAUUUGCGUUACAGGCCAUAACUGGGGAAAUGAUUGCAGCUCAUGGUCCGCGGCUGCCUGGAACACAGGUACCCCAUGGGGCUAUAAGCCCGCUGAAGCCUUAGAUGAAAAGGAUAAACACGGAACAUCAUUAACCCAACGAUUAACCCUUCUUAAAAUGCCCAACAAUUACUGCAACUCCCGCUCAGGCUAAAAAUUGCGCCAUUGGUGUGCAGAAAGACGUAAGCUUUGCAAGAAUCAUAUAGUAUAACAAUAAUGAUUCUAAGAGGGGAUUGAAAGGGUUAAAGCUCGUCUCUGCUUCAAUGUCAUAGAAUUGCUUGUGUUAUAGAACUUAAUGUUCCAGCACAUUUUUGCUACUGUCCUUGUCUGUUAUCUUUUUUAUACCGUGUGAAUAACCUUCCUAUUUGAGUACCAACUUGCCCAUAUAUGCAUAUCCUUCCACUGCGGCAGUUCCUAGCCAAUCAUGUUAUGUUAGCCCCCUUUGUGUUCUGUCCAAUUAGUUAUUGACUUUGGAUAUACACGCCCUAAAUCCUUUCUUUUAUAUACUUUUGUUAAACCAACAAUAAACAGUGUGAAUCUUUA